Molecule: ribosomal RNA, 785 nt
Filed under: uncultured Glomus
Lineage: Eukaryota; Fungi; Glomeromycota; Glomeromycetes; Glomerales; Glomeraceae
Description: SSU rRNA
Rfam family: Eukaryotic small subunit ribosomal RNA
Source: RNAcentral
AUGGUAGGAUAGAGGCCUACCAUGGUGGUAACGGGUAACGGGGUGUUAGGGCACGACACCGGAGAGGGAGCCUGAGAAACGGCUACCACAUCCAAGGAAGGCAGCAGGCGCGCAAAUUACCCAAUCCCGACACGGGGAGGUAGUGACAAUAAAUAACAAUACAGGGUUCUUUGAAUCUUGUAAUUGGAAUGAGUACAAUUUAAACCUCUUAACGAGGAACAAUUGGAGGGCAAGUCUGGUGCCAGCAGCCGCGGUAAUUCCAGCUCCAAUAGCGUAUAUUAAAGUUGUUGCAGUUAAAAAGCUCGUAGUUGAAUUUCGGGAUCAAUACGUCGGUCGUGCUUUCGGGUACGUACUGGCGUCAUUGGUUUCUCCUUUCUGACGAACCAUGAUGUCAUUAAUUUGGUGUUAUGGGGAGUUAGGACUGUUACUUUGAAAAAAUUAGAGUGUUUAAAGCAGGCAUUAGCUUGAAUACAUUAGCAUGGAAUAAUGAAAUAGGACGUUCGAUCCUAUUUUGUUGGUUUCUAGGAUCAACGUAAUGAUUAAUAGGGAUAGUUGGGGGCAUUAGUAUUCAAUUGUCAGAGGUGAAAUUCUUGGAUUUAUUGAAGACUAACUACUGCGAAAGCAUUUGCCAAGGAUGUUUUCAUUAAUCAAGAACGAAAGUUAGGGGAUCGAAGACGAUCAGAUACCGUCGUAGUCUUAACCAUAAACUAUGCCGACUAGGGAUCGGAUGAUGUUAAUUUUUUAAUGACUCAUUCGGCGCCUUACGGGAAACCAAAGUGUUUGGG